Molecule: non-coding RNA, 509 nt
Organism: Drosophila melanogaster (fruit fly)
Lineage: Eukaryota; Metazoa; Arthropoda; Insecta; Diptera; Drosophilidae
Source: Ensembl
CAGUUCUCCAGCAAAAUCCCCAAAAGCGUUGCGUUGGCGUAUUCUAAACUUUGCGCUACUUUUUGCCGAAGCUAAAGUCAUUAUCAUUAAAGCCAUACUUUGCUGCUUGCUGCCGAAACUUUCACUUGGCGAGCAGGGCGAAGCGGAGCGGAAAAUAUUGUAAAUUGUAUCUAACAGAUACUUUAUCGAGCCGAAACAGAAACUUCUGCCAUUGUCCGCGAGCGACAAAACUGACACACAUGUGGGGAUAUUCACAGGACCGAGGGUCUGAAGGGCUGGAAAUUACAUGCCAAGAUAAUGAGAGUAUAACUGGGCGUGGCCGCAACUUAUUCUUCGACUGCGCAGACUAUCCAGAACUUUUUGGAAAAGUUUUGCGAUUCUGCAGCAUGCUAAAUUUGGGGAGAAAAGUGUGGUAAAAAGUACAUGUAUAUCUCAAACGAUGCACACUUGCAAACGGUCGUCCGAUUGGAAAAUGUUUUCUUUAGAACUAAUAAACGUGCAAUAAAUUG